UACGAAGGGGGCUAGCGUUGCUCGGAAUUACUGGGCGUAAAGCGCACGUAGGCGGAUUGUUAAGUCGGGGGUGAAAUCCCGGAGCUCAACUCCAGAACUGCCUUCGAUACUGGCGAUCUAGAGUCCGGGAGAGGUGAGUGGAACUGCGAGUGUAGAGGUGAAAUUCGUAGAUAUUCGCAAGAACACCAGUGGCGAAGGCGGCUCACUGGCCCGGUACUGACGCUGAGGUGCGAAAGCGUGGGGAGCAAACAGG
RNAcentral lists this ribosomal RNA (253 nucleotides) under uncultured bacterium. RNAcentral's name for it is "partial 16S ribosomal RNA". It matches the Rfam family "Bacterial small subunit ribosomal RNA", at positions 524 to 776 of the family's 1533-position model. The record is from RNAcentral.